GAUGAACGCUGGCGGCGUGCCUAAUACAUGCAAGUCGAGCGAACAGACGAGGAGCUUGCUCCUCUGACGUUAGCGGCGGACGGGUGAGUAACACGUGGAUAACCUACCUAUAAGACUGGGAUAACUUCGGGAAACCGGAGCUAAUACCGGAUAAUAUAUUGAACCGCAUGGUUCAAUAGUGAAAGACGGUUUUGCUGUCACUUAUAGAUGGAUCCGCGCCGCAUUAGCUAGUUGGUAAGGUAACGGCUUACCAAGGCGACGAUGCGUAGCCGACCUGAGAGGGUGAUCGGCCACACUGGAACUGAGACACGGUCCAGACUCCGACGGGAGGCAGCAGUAGGGAAUCUUCCGCAAUGGGCGAAAGCCUGACGGAGCAACGCCGCGGGAGUGAUGAAGGUCUUCGGAUCGGAGAACUCUGUUAUUAGGAAAGAACAAAUGUGUAAGUAACUAUGCACGUCUUGACGGUACCUAAACAGAAAGCCACGGCUAACUACGUG
Molecule: ribosomal RNA, 497 nt
Filed under: uncultured bacterium
Lineage: Bacteria
Description: partial 16S ribosomal RNA
Rfam family: Bacterial small subunit ribosomal RNA
Source: RNAcentral